Molecule: non-coding RNA, 234 nt
Organism: Cinara cedri
Lineage: Eukaryota; Metazoa; Arthropoda; Insecta; Hemiptera; Aphididae
Source: the annotation of a GenBank genome assembly
UCCAGCUCAUUGGUCUAAAACGUCAUAUUCGUCCGCAAUACCGGUCGUACUCUUUCCCCUUGAAUGACCAUCGGACAUAUAUUAGUGAACAACCUUUACUAUUAAUGUGGUCAUUAAGAGGUAAAAAAUAUUUAUUUAUUUUUAAUCUUAUGAAAUAGGAGAAAGUUUGGAAAACCGGUAAUAUAAACCCUUUAAGUUUCAUUGGAAAAAAGAGUCCGAAUGUUUAAGAAAAUA